RNAcentral lists this ribosomal RNA (492 nucleotides) under uncultured bacterium. Its description in RNAcentral is "partial 16S ribosomal RNA". It matches the Rfam family "Bacterial small subunit ribosomal RNA", at positions 29 to 507 of the family's 1533-position model. The record is from RNAcentral.
AGUGAACGCUGGCGGUAGGCCUAACACAUGCAAGUCGAACGGCAGCACAGUAAGAGCUUGCUCUUACGGGUGGCGAGUGGCGGACGGGUGAGGAAUACAUCGGAAUCUACUUUUUCGUGGGGGAUAACGUAGGGAAACUUACGCUAAUACCGCAUGCGACCUACGGGUGAAAGCAGGGGAUCUUCGGACCUUGCGCGAUUGAAUGAGCCGAUGUCGGAUUAGCUAGUUGGCGGGGUAAGGGCCCACCAAGGCGACGAUCCGUAGCUGGUCUGAGAGGAUGAUCAGCCACACUGGAACUGAGACACGGUCCAGACUCCUACGGGAGGCAGCAGUGGGGAAUAUUGGACAAAGGGCGCAAGCCUGAUCCAGCCAUACCGCGUGGGUGAAGAAGGCCUUCGGGUUGUAAAGCCCUUUUGUUGGGAAAGAAAAGCAGCAGGUUAAUACCCCGCUGUUCUGACGGUACACAAAGAAUAAGCACCGGCUAACUUCGUG